AUUCUGUUUCAGGGCGAGGUGAAAAUCCUCACUGGCGGUAAUCGGAGCCGGCCGCAGCAGGCCGUGCUUCCCGAGAGUCCGCGAACCCUGCGUUUUCGCAGGGCCGAUCCGGUGAGAUCCCGGAACCAACGGUUACAGUCCGGAUGGAAGAGGCAGAAA
This 159-nucleotide non-coding RNA is filed under the name Berryella intestinalis. RNAcentral's name for it is "Coriobacteriaceae bacterium 68-1-3 FMN riboswitch aptamer (RFN element)". It matches the Rfam family "FMN riboswitch aptamer (RFN element)". Rfam says of the family: The RFN element is a highly conserved domain that is found frequently in the 5'-untranslated regions of prokaryotic mRNAs that encode for flavin mononucleotide (FMN) biosynthesis and transport proteins. RNAcentral also lists the same sequence under 1 other name. Lineage: Bacteria; Bacillati; Actinomycetota; Coriobacteriia; Eggerthellales; Eggerthellaceae. The record is from Rfam by way of RNAcentral.